This 679-nucleotide long non-coding RNA is filed under the name Dasypus novemcinctus (nine-banded armadillo). RNAcentral describes it as "lncRNA (ENSDNOG00000051875.1)". Lineage: Eukaryota; Metazoa; Chordata; Mammalia; Cingulata; Dasypodidae. The record is from RNAcentral.
GGCGAGAGCGGAGACGGGGAGCGAAAAAUCCGGGAUCCGGCAACUUUGGGCAGCGCAUGCGCGCCCGCGGCGCUCCAUCCCAAACACACACACAUUUUUCCCCCGGACUUGGAAAGUCACCCAAAGCCGCCCCAAGUGCAGGCUCACGGACCCUCCCGACUGAAGGCAGAGACCCUCUCGGUAUCCCCACCGGUCUCCCAGCUGCUACGGCCCCUGGCCCCUCCUUUCCAAGGGGAGCCCGCCCGACCCCAGUGCUGCACAUUGGAAUGGACUUCGAGCCCCAGCCCCUUGGGAUGCAAAGGUAGCUGCUCCUGACGCCCAAGAUACCACUGGGAAUUGUGGGUGGGAGCUACGGUUGGCCAGUUGGGGGGUCCUCCUCAGGGUAGGGGCUGUGUAGGCUCUAGACUCGCCCCUCUCAGUGGGAAGAAAGCGCUGUAGGUGACUGUGAAAACCAUGCAGGCCCAAGGAAAGCGCUCUGGCCCAGGGCCUCUGUUUUCUUCCUGGCUUUGCGGCUCACUCGCUGCUCACUCGGCUCUGGGUCUCAGCCUUCCCACCUGUGAAACAGAGUCUGGAAUCACCAGCCUUUAAGAAUCUUCCCAGCAUUGCCACUGUACAGUGUUGAAUGGUGCCGCAGCCAUGCACGCAUUUCAGGUGGGGCCCAAGCCCCAUCACACACCAC